RNAcentral lists this ribosomal RNA (815 nucleotides) under uncultured bacterium. Its description in RNAcentral is "bacterial SSU rRNA". It matches the Rfam family "Bacterial small subunit ribosomal RNA", at positions 8 to 796 of the family's 1533-position model. The record is from RNAcentral.
AGAGUUUGAUCAUGGCUCAGAACGAACGCUGGCGGCGUGGAUAAGACAUGCAAGUCGAGCGCUGAUUACGGGGUAGCAAUAUUCCGUGGUCGGAGCGGCGCAAGGGUGCGUAACACGUGGGUAAUCUGCCAUGAAGUUCGGGAUAACUUGCUGAAAGGCGAGCUAAUACCGGAUGUGACACCCGGGAGACAUCUCCUGGUUGUUAAAGUUGGGGACCGUAAGGCCUGACGCUUCUUGAUGAACCCGCGGCCUAUCAGCUAGUUGGUGAGGUAACGGCCCACCAAGGCUAAGACGGGUAGCUGGUCUGAGAGGACGACCAGCCACACUGGAACUGAGACACGGUCCAGACACCUACGGGUGGCAGCAGUCGAGAAUUUUUCACAAUGGGCGCAAGCCUGAUGGAGCGACGCCGCGUGGGGGAUGAAUGGCUUCGGCCCGUAAACCCCUGUCAUUCGCGAUCAAACCUUAUUAUUUAAAAGAUGAUGAGCUGAUAGUAGCGGAAGAGGAAGGGACGGCUAACUCUGUGCCAGCAGCCGCGGUAAUACAGAGGUCCCAAGCGUUGUUCGGAUUCACUGGGCGUAAAGGGUGCGUAGGUGGUGAGGUAAGUCGGAUGUGAAAUCUCGGAGCUUAACUCCGAAAUGGCAUUGGAAACUACCUUGCUCGAGGGUUGGAGGGGGGACUGGAAUACUUGGUGUAGCAGUGAAAUGCGUAGAUAUCAAGUGGAACACCAGUGGCGAAGGCGAGUCCCUGGACAACUCCUGACACUGAGGCACGAAAGCUAGGGGAGCAAACAGGAUUAGAUACCCUAGUAGUCC